RNAcentral lists this ribosomal RNA (382 nucleotides) under uncultured bacterium. Its description in RNAcentral is "bacterial SSU rRNA". It matches the Rfam family "Bacterial small subunit ribosomal RNA", at positions 148 to 507 of the family's 1533-position model. The record is from RNAcentral.
GUUACCGAAAGGAGCGCUAAUACCGCAAUAAGACCACGCUCUCGAAAGGGAGCGAGGUAAAAGUAGGCCUCUGAAUUCACGCUUACACUCGAGGAUGAGCCCGCGGCCCAUCAUGGUAGUUGGUAGGGUAAUGGCCUACCAAGCCGAAGACGGGUAGCUGGUCUUAGAGGAUGAUCAGCCACACUGGAACUGAGACACCGGUCCAGACUCCUACGGGAGGCAGCAGUGGGGAAUCUUGCGCAAUGGGCGAAAGCCUGACGCAGCGACGCCGCGUGGGUGAUGAAGGCCUUCGGGUCGUAAAGCUCUGUGGGGAGAGAAGAAUAAAGCCUGUGAAGAGCAGGCCUUGACGGUAUCUCCUUAGCAAGCACCGGCUAACUCCGUG